GCGUGUCCACACGGCGCGUUGCGUUGCGUUGCGUCGUCGCAACGCAAAUAUUUUGACGCAUAGCCGGCCACACGGGCGCUGCAGCGUUACUAUGACGCAGUCAACGUUCCGUCGGCGCAGCGGCGACGCACAGUUGCGGCAAGUAUUUUGAAAAAAAUUCGCAGUCAGUCUAUAGCAAAUCAUGGAUCGGAAAAGACGUCUAGCAUUGCUCCUAUUACUACGUCACCGCCGAAAUCGACGCAAGAUCACAAGACGGUACUGGAUCAGUCCUUUCAUUUCAUUAAGAAAUCGUGAUGGACAGUUUUUUUUUUUAGAAUAUCGGGAGUUGCUAUUAGACGAAAAGAAGUUUUAUAAUUUUUUUAGAAUGAGUGUAUCCAGCUUCGAAUGUUUAUUGAAGUCCUUAGAACCACACAUACGAAAAAACUAUACUAAUAUGAGGAAUCCAGUGGAACCAGUAGAAAUGCUGGGAAUCACUUUAAGAUACCUAGGAAGUGGAAAUUCAAUAACUGAUUUACAUUUCAAAUUCAAACGGGGAAAAUCUACUAUUGCAUAUAUAAUACAAAGAGUUUGUCGUGCUAUAU
Maniola jurtina (meadow brown) is the source of this 581-nucleotide long non-coding RNA. RefSeq lists it as uncharacterized. The record is from RefSeq and is a predicted model, not a curated record. The transcript has 2 exons. Lineage: Eukaryota; Metazoa; Arthropoda; Insecta; Lepidoptera; Nymphalidae.